CGACCUCAGAUUAGGUGGGAUUCCCCGCUGAAUUUAAGCAUAUUAGUAAGCGGUGGAAAAGAAACCAACAGGGAUUCCCUUAGUAGCUGCGAGUGAAGCAGGGAUUAGCCCAGCACUGAAUCCCAAAAGCUAUUGCUUUUAGGGAAAUGUA
Molecule: non-coding RNA, 151 nt
Filed under: Rhodnius prolixus
Lineage: Eukaryota; Metazoa; Arthropoda; Insecta; Hemiptera; Reduviidae
Description: Eukaryotic large subunit ribosomal RNA
Rfam family: Eukaryotic large subunit ribosomal RNA
Source: Rfam by way of RNAcentral